Molecule: non-coding RNA, 4961 nt
Organism: Rattus norvegicus (Norway rat)
Lineage: Eukaryota; Metazoa; Chordata; Mammalia; Rodentia; Muridae
Source: RefSeq, a predicted model, not a curated record
AUUUAAUCGGGGCUGGCUUACAGAUUCUGAGAUUCAAUCCAGUAUCAUCAAGGCAGGAGCAUGGCAGCGUCCAGGCAGGCAUGGUGCAGGAGGAGCUGAGAGUUCUACAUCUUCAUCUGAAGGCUGCUAACGGAAGACUGACCUCCAGGCAGCUAGGGCUAGGGUACUAAAGCCCACACCCACAGUGACACACCUACACCAACAAGGUGUAGUUCCAUUCCUUGGCCCAAGCAUAUACAAACCCCCACAGUCUUCAAACACUUCAGAGAUCUACAGAAUACAGCAUUUAAGUCUUUGUUAUUUUUUUUAAAUAAGGUUUAUCUGACAGUGAGACACAUCAGCUCCUGGCGACACAACCAUUUUAUUUCAAAGGAGAUCACAGACACGAAAGAACUUCCGUAAGGAGCUUGCAUCAAAUGAGGCAAUGUUGCCACUGGGCCAAAAACUGUCCUUGCCUUGACUGCUGACAGCCUGCUCUCCAAACUGUGGACGAGCAGGACACUGGGUAGCCGAUUGACCAACUUCGCUGAGACAAGGAAGGUAGGCUAGUCCUACAUAAUUCCUGCUUCACAGAUAAGUCUGUCAGACGCUCGGAACUUGUAGGCCGACGAAGAUGGGUGACCCAGUGUUACAGAGCGAUCUUUGCGGACUUCCAGGCAGCCAACAGUGCCUGUCACUUCUAUAGUUUUGGAAGCUGCUUGCUCUAUGCUUCCUGUUUACUUGGGUAAAAUUUAUCCUUCACAGACCCCUUCAUCUCACAAAGAAGCUUAAGUUGUUUAGGAUUUAAGAUGUUUUAAGGUCUAAAAAGAUAUGUUUAGGUUGGUAAAUGCAAGUUAUAAUGAUAAAAAAAUGCUUUCGGUAUAGAGCUUUGAACUCACCAAGAUAGGAUAAAUAGUGGAGUACUUUCUCCAAGGUUGCCAGAUACAAAUGGGCUGGACAGUGAGAAUGUAAUUCUUACCUGGUAGUUCUCAUAAUUGUUCUUUUUGUAUGUAGUUCAUUGGUGUUAGAGAAAACAUCAUUUAUUGGACUAAAAAGGGGAGCUGGCACGGUGUAAAGGUUGUCUUUGGAUUAUUCACAUUUGAUUUUUGUACCAGGAAAGAGCUGAGAAUUGGCUGGACUUUGGUAUUGUUAUUUCUAUGGAUCACAGCCUGCCUUAGUAUUUUGGAGACACACACCUCCCUCACAUUCUGAUUGAUUUAAUACAGAUCUGACAGUCAAUUACUGAGGCAGGAAAGGAAAGGCAGGACUUCGUGACAGAGAGAAAGAAUUGGGGGGAAAGAAUUGAGAGAUAGGGGAUUCUCCAGCAUUACUUGGAGGUGGACAGAUGGACAAGAGCAGAGUAGAGGGGUAGACCUGGCCACAUGGUGGGGCAUAGGCCAGGAUUAGGCGGGCUAGAGUAGUUGGGGGAGGGGAGGAAGGCCCAGCUAAGACCUAAGCUUUAAAAUACUAAUAAGCCUCUGUGUCAUUAUUUAUAUAUCUGGUGGGUCUGAAUUAGUCCUGCUAUAAGAUUACAUGAACAAGAGCCAUCCAGUCCCACAUAGCCUUUUUUAAACACUGCUACAUAGACACAGACACAGAAACACACACAUAGACACAGACACACAGAGACACAGAAACACACAGAGACACAGACACACAGACAGAGACACAGAAACACACACACAGACACAGACACACACACAGACACAGAAACACACACAGACACAGACACACAGACACAGAAGCAUGUGUUAACACAUGCACAUUCACACACAUGCAUAUGAUCACCACCCAACAGACAUGUACAUGCAUGGAAACAUGUUUCUAUGCACACACAUUCAGACACAUUCAUAUGCACACAGCAUAUACAUAAAUAUGCACAUCCACACAAGCACAUGAAAACAGGCACACACAUGCACACAUUCAUGCAUACACAUGUAUGCGGGUAGGCAUGUGCAUAUGUAUACACAAGGCACACACACAAACAGGAAUAACAUGCAUAUAAACACAUACACAGGCACAAGGAUGUGCCUUUACAUGAACAUAUGUAGUUGUAGGCACAUAUGAAUAAACAUACACUCACAUGCAUACAAACAAGUAAACACACAUGUACACACACACAUGCAUACACAUAGUGUGACGGUGAUCAUGUUGGCUUCUUUGCUGUCUCCGUGAGGCCCUGAACCACUACAGCCUAUUGUGUAGAUACAUAUAUGUGUGCACCUGCCUGUGAGUGUGCACCUGUGUGUAUGCAUGAAUGUGCACAUUUGCCCCUGUUUUCAAUGUGCUUAUUGGUGUGUAUGUACAUAUUUUAUGCAAGUGCAUGCAUAUAUGCAUGUGCCCGAGCCUUGGUGCCGGCUGUUUUCUGUCUUGAAUGCUUGUCCUGAAUAUCAUCAUGCCUAGUUCACCUCGUGGCUCCUACUGUCCCCUCUUUAAUCUCUAAUGGCUCCACUUACGCUCACUCUGUCCUGUUACUGACUCACCUCUUGGUUUUCAUGAGAACUAAUUCAUCCUCAGGUGUGAUAACAAGUUGCUUCUACUCAAAAACAACUUUUAUUUUUUAGCUUUAAAGAUGAUCCCCGCCACCUCAAAUAGCUAAUGGUGGUUCUGUGCUACUAGUAAGUUUCAGGACUGUCCUGAGCCCCUGAAACUGCACUCCAUACACAACCAUGUUUGGUCUUGGUACAAGCUAAGAGCCCACUCCUGAGUGUGGCAGUCUCAGUGGCGUUUUGGAUUGUGCUCUUGUGCUCGUCCUUGUCACCUCAUUCCCCUCCCCUAUCCACCAUUUUCCCAAGAUAAAUCAGCCAGGUCAGUCAACACAUUUUGAUGAAAAAGAAACAAGUUAGUCUUUUGACUUGACAAAGUACGCCAUUCUAGGGGCAGAGGGGCCGGGGCAGUCAGGAGCAUGUGGAAUUGGUGCUGCAGAGGCCAAGACAAGGCUCCUUUUGUGUUCUGGGACAAAGAUAAAGUGUCCUGGCAAGAUGGGGCCAGGGCCUUUCCAGCGCCAGCUCUGGCAGACCGGAUUGGCUGGCAGUGGUACAGCUCACCCCUAGCGACUGGAUGGCCUGGCUUCUCACUACCUCCUCCUCUCUUGGACGCAAACAAUUGAGAGCUAGUGAGAGGAGUCAUGAAAGUAAGCUGUUUGUCCUUCCUGGCCACCUGGCUUUCACAGGGAUCGGCAUCCUCAGAUCCGGCAGGCCUAGGACUUGUGCGAGCUUUAAUUUGCUGCUUCCGUGGCUUUGGGAGAGAGAAAGCUGGCCUGGGUUCUAGGUCAGGUGACUUUGGACUCUCGGAGCCUCUGGCUACCAUUGGACAGACAGCACAGCUGCAGGGCAAUUCCAGCUGUACAGACUGAGUGACAUGUUGCGGAGUAACAGCAAAGCGCAUGCUGGAUGCAGAGCCGGCGCUUGGGUUUCCGGAUGCCGCUUACAUCUGGUAUCGCAUCUGAUUCUCAAGGUCACCCCUGUGCAGGAGGCAGGGUGCUCAUUCCCACCGAGUUAGAAACCGAAGCUCUGGGGAGGGAUGGCACCAGCGGGGUGUUAGCACAGGUUAGGGUCCUGAGCAGGCGGGAAGAAACCUCCAUCAUGGAAAUAUUGGAGAGCACACUGGGCCACACCGCUAGCCCUGUGUACUGCUCCAGAUGCACUGCUCUGACUGCUGCAGAGAAUGCCCCUUUCCCACCCCCAGGAUUAAAGGUACGUGCCACCACCACCACACCACUGCUGACACCCGGCUCUAUGUGGAAGACUUUGCAGAGGAUGUGUUUGCCUGGAUGGCUUAUCACUAUACAGCUCUUCCCUGAGCACCUACUCUCUCAUUGUCAGACACAGAGGAACAAGAUAGAAGAGGUCCUGGCCUUCUGGAGCUGAUGUUCAAUCCAACACUCUGGGCCAUAGCUGCACAGCAGAAUCACCUAUGCAAACAGUAACCUUUUUUUUUUUUUUUAAUGGCUGUGUCCUAUGCUGGGGCCAUGGGACUUCAAACGGUGAUUCUAGGCGCCAGCUUUGCUGAGAACUGGAGUGUGAGGUUGCGAAGGAAUGAACACCCACCUAGAAAAGGAAAUUGACCUUGAGAAUGGGAUCCAUAAAAAUGGGGUUGCCACAGCCCAGUAAACAUCUCUGGGGUCACUGGUGAGGAGCCUAUAGCUCCCGUUAAAGCUGUUAAGUACACCAUGGGAAAUGAGGGAACAUGGCCGAGGCUGUGGGGGGAGGGGGGAAGAGCGCAAGCUGGGGGGUGAGUGAGCUGGAGUGGGCAACGCAUUAUAAGGCUGCAUAUUCCUGGGAAGUCACAGGUGGGCCAGAAGGCCCAGAGAUGGCAAUGGUUCCCCAGAACCUGCAGGAGUUCACACUGCCUUGAAGCCCAACCCGUUUUACCCUGAAACCCAGAUGGUGAGGAAGACCUAAGUCACUGUAUUUAAGGCUGACACCAGGUCUCCUCCUACCUACCCUGCCCCUAAAGCAGUCCCAGCUCACAGAAGCCUGGAGCAUUGGGUAAGGAGCUGGGAGGAGUAAGCAGGGAAGUCAAGGACUUUAGAAAGGCUAUCCUUGCUGUAAAGUUCGGCAGCUGGGUGUAUCUGACUGGACCUUUGAGAGGCCUGCAACUGGAGAGGGCUCUAGCCUCACAGCCAUGGGGUACAGGGCCACACACUUUUGUGAAUAGUCUGUAAGGAAACCAUGAGCUCUGACACGGCUAGGAUUCUGCUCCACCCUAUCCAAUCAGAUCCAGAGUCACUGAUCCUAAAGGGGUACUUUAGAAAAGUGUUUCAGUGAGUGGCGGUAGGGUUGUGUUCAAAUAAUGCAGACCUCAUUCAUUUCCUUUAUUACGAGCCUAGAUGCUGUGUUCCAAUGUAUUACGAUACUGUACUAAGAUGCUGGGUCAUGCUAUAUGCUAGGAUAGGUUGCCUUGGAGUUUUAGAUUGGAAUGUUGCUAAGAAUUGUGCUUUAAGAUGUUGAAUUAAAAUAUAAAUUAAAUUAAAAUAUAAA